Molecule: ribosomal RNA, 673 nt
Filed under: Amblycerus caymanensis
Lineage: Eukaryota; Metazoa; Arthropoda; Insecta; Coleoptera; Chrysomelidae
Description: SSU rRNA
Rfam family: Eukaryotic small subunit ribosomal RNA
Source: RNAcentral
UUGUCUCAAAGAUUAAGCCAUGCAUGUCUCAGUACAAGCCAAAUUAAGGUGAAACCGCGAAAGGCUCAUUAAAUCAGUUAUGGUUCCUUAGAUCGUACCCACAUUUACUUGGAUAACUGUGGUAAUUCUAGAGCUAAUACAUGCAAACAGAGCUCCAACCGGAGACGGAAGGAGCGCUUUUAUUAGAUCAAAACCAAUCGGUGGCGGGCUUGCUCGUCAUCGUACAACUUGGUGACUCUGAAUAACUUUACGCUGAUCGCAUGGUCUCGCACCGGCGACGCAUCUUUCAAAUGUCUGCCUUAUCAACUGUCGAUGGUAGGUUCUGCGCCUACCAUGGUUGUAACGGGUAACGGGGAAUCAGGGUUCGAUUCCGGAGAGGGAGCCUGAGAAACGGCUACCACAUCCAAGGAAGGCAGCAGGCGCGCAAAUUACCCACUCCCGGCACGGGGAGGUAGUGACGAAAAAUAACGAUACGGGACUCUUCCGAGGCCCCGUAAUCGGAAUGAGUACACUCUAAACCCUUUAACGAGGAUCAAUUGGAGGGCAAGUCUGGUGCCAGCAGCCGCGGUAAUUCCAGCUCCAAUAGCGUAUAUUAAAGUUGUUGCGGUUAAAAAGCUCGUAGUCGAAUUUGUGUCCCGCGCCGCCGGUUCAUCGCACGCGGUGUUAACUGGCG